RNAcentral lists this ribosomal RNA (254 nucleotides) under uncultured bacterium. RNAcentral describes it as "partial 16S ribosomal RNA". It matches the Rfam family "Bacterial small subunit ribosomal RNA", at positions 524 to 776 of the family's 1533-position model. The record is from RNAcentral.
UACGGAGGGUGCAAGCGUUAUCCGGAUUCACUGGGUUUAAAGGGUGCGUAGGUGGGCAGGUAAGUCAGUGGUGAAAUCUCCGGGCUUAACCCGGAAACUGCCAUUGAUACUAUCUGUCUUGAAUACCGUGGAGGUGAGCGGAAUAUGUCAUGUAGCGGUGAAAUGCUUAGAUAUGACAUAGAACACCAAUUGCGAAGGCAGCUCACUACGCGAAUAUUGACACUGAGGCACGAAAGCGUGGGGAUCGAAACAGG